UCUAAAUCUCGGUCAUCACAAAGCUUUAAAUAACAGUUUGUGUUUAUUUGAGUGUGACGGAGGUUUUUGUACGACGCUUUCACUAGAAUGAAGCACUGUGGUACACUUUUGGUGGAGGAACUGAACUGACCAUCGCUGGUCCCGCAGUGAAGCCCUCCGUGUCUCUGCUGCCUCCCUCUUCUCUGCAGAUCUCUGGAGACUCAGCCGCACUGCUCUGUCUGCUCAGCUCUUACUCUCCACAGGGGGCGCAGGUGAGCUGGACGCUGGACGGGUCAGAGGUCACCGAGGGGGUUCAGACCAGCGCAGAGAGCGAGCGGGAC
Carassius auratus (goldfish) is the source of this 320-nucleotide long non-coding RNA. RefSeq lists it as uncharacterized. The transcript has 3 exons. NCBI's taxonomy places the organism in Eukaryota, Metazoa, Chordata, Actinopteri, Cypriniformes, Cyprinidae. The record is from RefSeq and is a predicted model, not a curated record.